UACGAAGGGUGCAAACGUUGCUCGGAAUUAUUGGGCGUAAAGCGCACGUAGGCGGCAUUGCAAGUCGGAUGUGAAAUCCCUCGGCUUAACCAAGGAAGUGCAUCCGAAACUGCAGUGCUUGAGUACUUAAGAGGAUCGCGGAAUUCCUGGUGUAGAGGUGAAAUUCGUAGAUAUCGGGAGGAACACCAGUGGCGAAGGCGGCGAUCUGGGAAGAUACUGACGCUGAGGUGCGAAAGCGUGGGGAGCAAACAGG
Molecule: ribosomal RNA, 253 nt
Filed under: uncultured bacterium
Lineage: Bacteria
Description: partial 16S ribosomal RNA
Rfam family: Bacterial small subunit ribosomal RNA
Source: RNAcentral